UUCCUUUUUUUCCCCCUCCCCUCCCUCCCGGCUUCCUUUCUUUGUAGCCACCUCAGGGGAAGCAACAGAUCGUCACUCGGUGUUCUCACCGAAAGCACGUAAUCGCCGGUGUAACUCAUGUUGGCUGGGGGGGCUCCCCGCGCGCAGAAAGGUUGGGGUGCGCCCCCAAGCAGCUCUCCUUUGCUCAGCUACAUGGUCCUGUUCCACGGGUGCGCUGAGGGCUGCGAGAGAGCGCAACUCCCGACGCCUCCCCCCAACACCCCGGUGGGUGAGGGAUGCUCUGGGCUUGGGAUGGCCAGGUGAAAGCCCGGAACUGUGUGGCUCCAGGUCUGGAAGCCUGUUAUCCGAAGGCUUACGUUCGCCACCUCCUUCUUCGCAGCCCCCCCUCUCACAAGCUUGCUCUGGGAACACCUCAGCCUCAGACCCUGGCUGGACCCCAUUUGGGGCCAGGCUUCGCAGCCGUGGAUGUGCCGGCCUCGUGGCUUGUCCGAUUUGCACGGUGACUUGAUUACACGCUCUCAUUCAUGGUCACUUCCGAAGCGCUUUAGUGCCUUCCGUCCCCAAACCGCUAACAGGCAGAGCAGCUUUCCUCCGCGGUUUGUCAAUAAUCUGCGCGGUCCGGAAGGGCCUUCGCCUUACCCGGGUUCCACCUACCCUGUAUCUUUUGCCUACUUCCUCACCCCACACCCUGCCUUUGGAGGAACCCCCUUCUCCUCAGCUGCCUGUAAGGGUUCGGAGUGACUCCGCAGAGCCAGAGGCGCUGGGACUGCGCUUCUGCUCACCGGUCCGCAAGCUGUUCUGUCUCCUGAAGCUGACGAAUCGGAAACCAUGCCAUUGAGGCGAACCUUGGGCUGUUUUAGAGGCGCUGACAUCCGAGGAGCCUUCUCCUGGGAGGCCGAAGGUCGAUCUUAGCCCACCAGGCUCUGGGAAAGACCGGGCUAGGGAUAAGACCACACCGGAAGGCCAAGUCCGAGUUCCAUUCCUAGAAGAGGCGGCUGCCGGCAAGGCUAUGACAUUGGCCCUGGACAUUGGUUUCCCAGGAGCUGUUCUUUCUCAAGAACUGCACAGCGAGCGGGCCGUCUCCAGAAAACACUCCUCAACGUUUAUUUCCUUUAAUCGUCAACCCGGAGCCCUACGGCGGCUAAUGCAAGAGGCCAAAAAUGUUUGGAGGAAGAAAAACAAAGGCAGGAAGUGGCCGCGGCCUGACGGUGCGUGUGUCUGUAGAGAAGGGAGGGAACCGGUUCAAUCUCCUCUUGUUCCCCCCCCCCCCGAACUUCAAGGUCUAGGCAGACCCCCUUAGCGCUUGGCCAAGGCUCUCGGUCCAGAGAUUGGAGGUGGCCAACAAGUUAGCCUUGUCGAACUGAAAGGCUAAGAAGGAAACUUAAUCAGCAAAACACACCAAGCCUUUUGGAGGUUUCUUCUGAUUUUGUCCCAAAAGGGUGGGGGUUGUAUCGGUGUCCACAAAGUCUGCUGUUUUAACCGCACCAUGAAGGGAGGGAGGUUCAGGCACCAUUCGCUCCACCCUCCUUCUCGAGGUAGAAUACCAGAAUAAAGUGUGUCCAGGUGCCUCG
Molecule: long non-coding RNA, 1571 nt
Organism: Alexandromys fortis (reed vole)
Lineage: Eukaryota; Metazoa; Chordata; Mammalia; Rodentia; Cricetidae
Exons: 2
Source: RefSeq, a predicted model, not a curated record